RNAcentral lists this ribosomal RNA (464 nucleotides) under uncultured bacterium. RNAcentral's name for it is "partial 16S ribosomal RNA". It matches the Rfam family "Bacterial small subunit ribosomal RNA", at positions 338 to 795 of the family's 1533-position model. The record is from RNAcentral.
CCUACGGGGGGCAGCAGUAGGGAAUUUUCGUCAAUGGGCGCAAGCCUGAACGAGCAAUGCCGCGUGAACGAGGAAGGUCUUCGGAUCGUAAAGUUCUGUUGAAGGGGAAACAGAGCGGAGAGAGGAAAUGAACUCCGAUUGAUAUUACCCUUCGAGGAAGUCACGGCUAACUACGUGCCAGCAGCCGCGGUAAUACGUAGGUGGCGAGCGUUAUCCGGAAUGAUUGGGCGAAAAGGGUGCGUAGGCGGCCUGCUAAGUAUGGAGUGAAAGGUACCGGCUCAACCGGUACAGGCUCUGGAAACUGGCGGGCUAGAGAGCAGGAGAGGGCGGUGGAACUCCAUGUGUAGCGGUAAAAUGCGUAGAUAUAUGGAAGAACACCAGUGGCGAAGGCGGCCGCCUGGCCUGUUACUGACGCUGAGGCACGAAAGCGUGGGGAGCAAAUAGGAUUAGAUACCCGAGUAGUC